RNAcentral lists this ribosomal RNA (466 nucleotides) under uncultured bacterium. RNAcentral's name for it is "bacterial SSU rRNA". It matches the Rfam family "Bacterial small subunit ribosomal RNA", at positions 328 to 792 of the family's 1533-position model. The record is from RNAcentral.
CUCCCAGACUCCUACGGGAGGCAGCAGUGAGGAAUAUUGGUCAAUGGGCGGGAGCCUGAACCAGCCAAGUCGCGUGAGGGAAGACGGCCCUACGGGUUGUAAACCUCUUUUGUCGGGGAGCAAAGCGAGUCACGUGUGACUCAUUGAGAGUACCCGAAGAAAAAGCAUCGGCUAACUCCGUGCCAGCAGCCGCGGUAAUACGGAGGAUGCGAGCGUUAUCCGGAUUUAUUGGGUUUAAAGGGUGCGCAGGCGGAGGUGCAAGUCAGCGGUCAAAUUGCGGGGCUCAACCCCGUACUGCCGUUGAAACUGCAUCCCUUGAGUGCGCGAGAAGUAUGCGGAAUGCGUGGUGUAGCGGUGAAAUGCAUAGAUAUCGCGCAGAACUCCGAUUGCGAAGGCAGCAUGCCGGCUCCACACUGACGCUGAGGCACGAAAGCGUGGGUAUCGAACAGGAUUAGAUACCCCUGUA